RNAcentral lists this ribosomal RNA (1282 nucleotides) under Hycleus scutellatus. RNAcentral's name for it is "16S ribosomal RNA". The stretch from base 853 to 1216 matches the Rfam family "Bacterial large subunit ribosomal RNA", at positions 2072 to 2648 of the family's 2925-position model. The record is from RNAcentral. Lineage: Eukaryota; Metazoa; Arthropoda; Insecta; Coleoptera; Meloidae.
AUUUAAAAAUUUAAUUAGGUUAUUUGUUUUAGAAUUUUUAUUUUAAAUAUAAAGGUGUUUAUUAUCGUUAGAGAAUAAAUUGAUUUAUUUAUAGGGGAUUAGUAUAGAGAUUGAAAAUUUAAAAGUUUAUAAAAGAAGGAUUAAUUUUUUGUACCUUGUGUAUCAGGGUUUACUAAAAAAAUUUAACUAUUUAGUUUUCUCGAAUUAUAAAGAGUUAUAAGUUUAUUUUGGUUAAUGUAGCAUAAUUAUGUCAAAUGGGCUUAUGGAAAUGAAACGUUAUUCGUUUUAUAAUAUAUCUAGUUUUCUAAGAAAUAAAUACAAUUUAGUUCUUAUAUAAUAUUAACAUGAAUAAUCAUUUUAAUAUUUUUAAGUUUAAAUAGUUAUAGGGAUGAGCUUAUAAUUAAAUCACUAAAAUUUAAUAUCUUUUGAUAAUAACUAGGAUUAGAAUUUUCCAUUUUUAAAAGGAUGUCAUAAUUGGUUAUCUUAUGUAAAUUAUUUAUAAGAAAUUUAGGUUUAAUAUUAGAAUGUGUUUUUUAAUUAAAUAAAAACAGUAAUAAUGGUAAAAUUAGUAAAGUUUAUUUGUAUGAGUAAGUAUUGAUUUAAAAGGUUAAUAUAAGGAACUCGGCAAAAUUAUUUCUCACCUGUUUAAUAAAAACAUGGCUUUUUGUGAAUUGUUUAAGGUCUGGCCUGCUCCAUGAUUGAAUUUAAAUAGCCGCAGUAUUUUGACUGUGCAAAGGUAGCAUAAUCAUUAGUUUUUUAAUUGAAAGCUGGAAUGAAGGGUCGGAUGAGGAAAUGACUGUCUCAUGUUAAUUGAAGUUGAAUUUUAUUUUUAAGUUAAAAAGCUUAAAUGAAAUAAAAAGACGAGAAGACCCUAUAGAGUUUAAUAGAAUACCAUAUAUAAAAAUUUAGGUUUUAAGUUAUUUAUAUGUAUUUCUAUUUGGUUGGGGUGACAAAAGAAUUGAAUUAACUUCUUUAUGUUUUAACAUUGAUUAAUGAAUAUUUGAUCCUUUAUUAGAGAUUAAAAGAAUAAAUUACCUUAGGGAUAACAGCGUUAUUCUUUCAGAGAGUUCUAAUCGAAGAAAGAGAUUGCGACCUCGAUGUUGGAUUAAAGUUAAUUUCUGGUGCAGAAGCUAGAAUAUUGAGUCUGUUCGACUUUUGAAACUUUACAUGAUCUGAGUUUAAACCGGCGUGAGCCAGGUUGGUUUCUAUCUUUUAUAAUAUUUAAUAUUUUAGUACGAAAGGACCAGAUAUUAGAAUUAAAUUUUAUUUAUUGAAUAUUAUU